RNAcentral lists this ribosomal RNA (301 nucleotides) under uncultured bacterium. RNAcentral describes it as "partial 16S ribosomal RNA". It matches the Rfam family "Bacterial small subunit ribosomal RNA", at positions 509 to 807 of the family's 1533-position model. The record is from RNAcentral.
CAGUCGCCGCGGGAAUACAUAGGGUGCGAGCGUUAAUCGGAUUUACUGGGCGUAAAGCGUGCGUAGGCGGCUAAUUGAGUCGGAUGUGAAAUCCCCGAGCUUAACUUGGGAAUUGCAUUCGAUACUGGUUAGCUAGAGUGUGGGAGAGGAUGGUAGAAUUCCAGGUGUAGCGGUGAAAUGCGUAGAGAUCUGGAGGAAUACCGAUGGCGAAGGCAGCCAUCUGGCCUAACACUGACGCUGAGGUACGAAAGCAUGGGGAGCAAACAGGAUUAGAUACCCCUGUAGUCCCUGUCUCUUAUAC